Molecule: long non-coding RNA, 334 nt
Organism: Falco peregrinus (peregrine falcon)
Lineage: Eukaryota; Metazoa; Chordata; Aves; Falconiformes; Falconidae
Exons: 2
Source: RefSeq, a predicted model, not a curated record
CGAGGGGGCGGGAUGAGGGAUGAGGGAGGAUCACGGGUAGUCCCCGCCCCCGGAGCCGUGCCGGUUGCCUUAUAAGGGGCGGGGCGGGGCGCGCUCAUUCAUGCGCGCAGAGAGGGGCGGGUCCAUCGGUGGUUUCGCCCCCGCCCGUGGCGCGCAUUCUACGCUGCAGCGGCAGCCCAGCCGGGAGGAGCGGCCCGGCCCGGUACUCGCAUGACACAUGGCGGCUUCCAGCCUGCGCCGGAGAUAUGGAUUGAACUUUAGUCUCCGAGCAAUUAAGGUGCCUGAAACUGCACUUCAUUAAUGGUUGUUAUGCAAUAAAACCGAUAAAACUGCC